CUUUUUUUGAGUUUUUUCCUUGAAAGUAUAUUACAGGCUUGCCUUUGCCUGAUCUAGUGAAAAGCAAGAGAUGAAUACAAGAGGAAGGCCUCAGAUUGGUUGUGUAAUUGGUGGAAGCAGAUACAAUGAGCUGUUUUUUUUUUUUUUUUUUUUUUUUUUUU
Molecule: non-coding RNA, 161 nt
Filed under: Fibrocapsa japonica
Lineage: Eukaryota; Raphidophyceae; Chattonellales; Chattonellaceae
Source: RNAcentral